RNAcentral lists this long non-coding RNA (4038 nucleotides) under Nicotiana benthamiana. Its description in RNAcentral is "long non-coding RNA (NBEN_LNC024459)". Lineage: Eukaryota; Viridiplantae; Streptophyta; Magnoliopsida; Solanales; Solanaceae. The record is from RNAcentral.
GGGUUUUCGGAUUUUUGUUGGUUCUUCAAAUUUCAAUUCAUUCGAAAAUUAGAGUUCUCUUUUGAGUGUUAUUUGAUUCUGUUUUUUCAUUUUCAUAUAUAAAAAGAACAAAAAAAUUAGUGUCUUCUAAUUCGAGCUUUACUUCAAAGUAAAAAAAAUACAAAAAAAAGAAGAAAAAAUUAGUUCCUUCUUCUGUUUUCUUUUUUGAAAUGGAGUUUUGCUGAGAUUAGAGGUUCGAUAUCAGUUGCCAAUCUGAAGUUUCGUUCGAGCUUCUGUCCGAUUCGAGUUCCAGUUGUAGCCGCGAUUUUGUUUUGCUCGUGUAACUGCUGAAACUUUGGAGAAAUUGAAAUUCCAGUUUUCAGGUGCAUGUCUUCCACUAAUGAUCUCACUUCUUGGUAUCCUUAAGUAUAAUAAGAGCUAUAAGGAACUAACCUCCAUAGUGAUAGAUAUUUGAUUGUAUUUUAGUAGAGGCUGUGUUCGGAGUCGGUUUCUGAUUGCGACUUGUGUGUGAAAGAGGUUUUUCACUCCAUGCUUGUUGUUCUAUGCUAUAUCUUGUUGUCUAAAUAGGAGUAACUGAAUACGGGAACUUCCAGAUUGUAUUCGAGCCUCUAGAUUAUAUUCAUUCAUCUUUGACUUAUUGACGUAUGAUCUAAUACUUUUGUUGGUUUGUAUUCUGCUAUGUUUCAUGUGUUUCAAAUGGUUGUUAGUAUCCAUGCUAGAUUUUGAAUGGCUUUUACAUUGAGAUUCAGUUCUGUUGGUUUGUAUUCUGCUCUGUUUCAUGUGUUUCAAAUGGUUUUUAGUAUCCAUGCUAGAUUUUGAAAUUCAGUUGAGGAGUUCUGCUGCUGCCUUGUGGUUGAACUAGUUUCUUGGGCAUCAAAAGUGGCAGAAUAUUUACUCGUUAGAUUCAGAAUGUUAUAUCCAUUUGGUGAGGUUUAAGUUGAUCGACUUCCCUGUUUGAAAUCGCAAAAUGUUUCGCACUUCACUCUUUCUGUUGAUUAAGCGAUCAUUUACAUGAAUAAGUUUAAAACGACUGAUUCUUUGCCUUCGAUAUUGUAAGCUUGUUCGGCUGGCCUAAUCAAGUUGAAUGGGAUAACAAUGGAAUGUCUGUGAUGGUGUCUCAAUGUGUAACUGAACUAAAUGUUUGAGGAUCAUUAGGGCUUAGAUUCAUCUAUCUCUUCUUCAUGGCUCUACCCGCAUUUAGUUUCAUUUCUAAACAACAGAAGUUCAACGUUAAGGAACUGAAAUGGUCUGAUUGAGAAGUUGGUACAAAAUUUUGAAGUUGUAUCUCAUCGGAAAUUCCAUGAUCUUUGUUAUUGAAGGGUCAGUUGUUGUGUUUGAUAAAUUAGAGGUCCUUUUAAAUUUUUAACGUACUUUGGGCGACAGUAAAAUUUUGGAUAAAGGUAUCUGAUAUGAGAUUAACCUGCUUGAGUUUGUGAUUUUGGGGUUGAAAGAUUUAUUGGGAUCAAGAACUUAACCAGGGUCCGGGUUAGGUACUGUGGCUACUAGAUAUGUUAUCUUGCAAAUACUAUUGGUAGUUUGUGUGAAUAUUUAACUUUUUAUGCUUUUCUAUAACCCUGUGCGAAGCAUGCGACAAGGUGGCAUUUGAGUAGCACUAGUGAAAUACUUUGAUUAUUUGAACUUUGAAUUGAGUUAGGACGUUGGUUUGUCCAGGGAAGUGCCUCAUAGUUCUUAUCAUAUUAUCCAUUUACUUUACCUUUUAAUUCUUUGUUUAGUCGUUCACCUGUUACUAAUAUUAUGUGUCAUUUGAAUGAUUAUUUUGUUGGACGUUUCUUUGUCAAUAUUUGAUGAGAAUAAUUUGAUCAAAUGGAUGAACGAGGUUGUGAAAAAAAAAAAGACAAACACAAUUAAAUUAGUACAUACUUUAGUUUUCUCUCAUUAAUUCAUUUUAUUCGCUAGGAGCAUGCUUAGGCCGUUAUCAUCGGGGUAAUCAAUUUUCAGGAUUUUUGUUUGAUUCAAGGCGAGAGGUCGUUCCAUUAACUAUAUUUAUCUGAGGAAUGCCCUGAAGGACUUAUAUAUAUUUUAUUCCAGGGUAUGUCCCGAUUUACUUAUAUUUGGAGGCCUAAAGUGGAAUUCGUAGUAUUUUUAGUGUUGGAUUUAUUUUUUUUUUUCUUCAUUAGGUGGGAACGACCUCGAACCUCUUGUGUGCUUUUUUUUCCUUCUUUCUUUUCUAUGUUUGUUUCAUCUCAAUUCAAAUAUUCUAUAAGCCAACUAAGUCGAGUACGCAACCGUAAUUUUUACGGGACUAAGGGAUUGCCUAACACCUUCUACCCGAGUCAAAUGAACCCCCUUACCCAAAUCUCUGGUGCGGACUUAGUUUUGAGCCCAAGUGUUUAAAAAGAAAAUUAUUUUUCUAAAAAAAUGGUGGCCUGGCACACCGAAAUCAAAUGCCUUGUGGCGACUCCGAGUUAUUUUCUUUUCAACAAUUUUUGUCACUUUCAUAAUUGAAAAUUCCUUUUCAAGCUUUUAUUAAAAUCUUUUUAUUUAUUUAAGAAGGUUAAGUGAGAGUUUGUUUAAAAAAAAGGGGUGUGACAAACCACACUUGGAGUUUUAUGCUUACUUUGAAGUUGAGCAAUAGUAAUCUGUUGAGCUUGUAGCAUCUCGAAUAUUUCUUGGAGGCUAACUCCCCCCUCUCAUAUACCAUGCAUUCCUUGGCCGCCAGAUCGAACUUCCCUGUGUACACUUCCUCCGGGGUCUGCGCCCAAAUUCCCAUUGAAAGAAAUGUGUGAACUAAUAUUGACUGGUUCUACAUUUGGCACUUCCCCAGGGUUAAUCGGUGGCACACCGGCUCCCAGAGCAAGUACAUUGUUGUUUUCCCCAUGAAAUCCUAGACCAUCAUCGCCGUGUGCAGGUGCAUUUUGUGAGUUUGACAAUAUUUUAGCUUGGGAACAAAAGUUUUUGACAAGAGCAAGUGUAAAAAUAACAUAUGUUAUUAGUAUCAGUACUAAAAUAACCACUAUUAUCUUUAACCUCACGGUGAGUAUCAAAUUGUUUACCUCGAAAAUACGAGUAACAAUUAAACUUAUUUGUGGCUUUAUAGAUACGUAAUUUAGUUCAAUACUAGUUAAUAACCAAGAAAACAAACCUCAAAAUUAAAGAAGUAAGCUGAAUCAAACCAGUGCUUAAGCAAGUCUUGACCUCGAACAAUGGUGGCCUCGAGGUAGGUCAACAAGAAAAGUAAAAUAGAGACAAUAAAGAUGAGAGACAAUUCUGACGAGUAAUGAGCAAAAAAGUAAGAAAGUAUAUUCUUUUGCCAAUAUGUGAGCGAAUAUUACAUAUGAUUGGUAUCCUCUUUAUAUAGUGGGGGAACCCUAAAUAAGCUAUAUUUCUAUUUAUAGUAAGGAAUCUUAUUGGGACAAUUGUCUAAUAGCCUAGUACAAAUCCAUACUAACUUGUGCAAAUCUAUUCCGGAAUUUACGCCACCAUCUUAGGGCCAUCACGGGAAUCUCGCCCUUUCUGUUACAAAACCAUAAUGAUAUUAUCUCGAGAUUAGCCAUAUUCGGCUCCGAUGUUCCUUGAGCACUUAGAUCUUCGAGUCUUGCACUCUGCCUUCGAGCUCGAGCUCGGUCUAUAUUGAACUUGUUCUUGAUGCAAACCCUCGGGCCUACAAAACCGGGGACAUACGAUUUUGACCGUAUUCAGUAAUCUUUUCUUUUACUUUCAAACACACGAGAAAGAUUAUGUUUCAGUUUAUCUCAGAGAUCUCCUAAAAAUGUGUCUUUACCUAUGUGUUCUUCACAUGCAGAGAAACUAUAAAAUCACCAUCCUGAUUUAGACGACCUCAAAUUGCUUUUUAAGGAUAAGGAAGCACUAUUUUAGGUUGGCGUAUUUAACGGGCUUUCAGCAGACAUAGGCCCAUGUUUUCAGGCCUCUAUCAGCAGCUUUAGGUCCAUGGUCUAUUUAACGGAUGGUUACACAAUAACGGGCCAGAUUUAUUAUUAUUUUUUUUUGUCGGUAUACAUAGAUUAUAUUAUUGAUUAUAAAAAGUUACACACACAAUACACACACACACAUAUGUAU